Long non-coding RNA from Motacilla alba alba, 598 nucleotides. RefSeq lists it as uncharacterized. The record is from RefSeq and is a predicted model, not a curated record. The transcript is spliced from 3 exons. NCBI's taxonomy places the organism in Eukaryota, Metazoa, Chordata, Aves, Passeriformes, Motacillidae.
CCUUGUGGUUGCAGUCAUCCUGUGGCUUGUGCACUCCAGGAAAAGGAAGUACUUGCCCAACAAAACUAAGGAGGAUAAUUAAAAGGUAAAGCUGGCUAAGCUGGAGAUCAGGCACUUCAGCCCCAGCCAGGACCAUGGAGACAUCCAGAGCAGUGAGGACGUGGAGAAAAUGGGAAGGAUAAUCCCAGCCCAGAGCUGAUGGCUGCCAUGUCCCCUGGCUCUCCUGUGACUGAGACCAGCAUGGGGAUCCCAUGAAAUUCAUCCAAUUCAGCAGGGCAAGAGGAAAACAGAAGGCCCUGGAGGGCUGAGCUUUUUCAUUUUCAGCCCCUUCACCGCCCAGGGUUUGCUUACUGCUUUUCUAAGGCCUUUGAAUCUGGCUUUCUGUAAUCCUUUUUUCCAGGCUUUGCUUUCAUUUUUGCUUUCCUGGAGGCAGCACUGAAAUGCCAGAUUUCCCAGUCCUAAACUCAUGCUCAGGUUGAUGGCAUUCUCCUGCUGUCCUUUGGGUUCCCAGCCCUUCUGCCCUCUGCUUUGUGACUCUGCCUGUUCUGUCGACAACAAAUAAAGGCUUAUGGUUUGCAGGGGCUGCCUGUCCCACACA